RNAcentral lists this long non-coding RNA (1622 nucleotides) under Podarcis muralis (Common wall lizard). RNAcentral describes it as "lncRNA (ENSPMRG00000020228.1)". Lineage: Eukaryota; Metazoa; Chordata; Lepidosauria; Squamata; Lacertidae. The record is from RNAcentral.
CCCGAACGCGCCCGGCUCCUGUUUUUGGGGAGGUGCACCUGCUCUCUCCGUAAUGCGCAGGGGCUAGUUUGAUUUGAUUAAUUUUAUAAUGAAUGUUUUAGAAUGUUGUUAGCCGCCCUGAGCCCAGCUUCGGCAGGGGAGGGCGGGAUAUAAAUAAAAUUUAUUAUUAUUAUUAUUAUUAUUAUUAUUAUUAUUAUUAUUAUUAUUAUUUUGGAGGGGCGGGUGCGUCGUUCUGCCUUGGGGCUGUGCGCGCUCCCCGCGUGCGGUGUGUGUGUGUGUGUGCGCGCGCGCGUGUGUGUGCUGGACUAGAUGGCCUUUGGAUCUCUCUUUCCUGCCGCGCGGUUUCCCACCCGCCCCCAGGAAAAGGGGGGGGGAGCGAGGCCGACCCACGCGAGCGUGUGGGGCUGGGACGCCCGAGGCAGGAGGGACGGCAGCGGAGCCUGCUAGGAAAAGGGGAGUGGAGACAUGAACCCUGGCAGCCGGCUGCAGAAGCGCCCGAGCGGAUGGUCCGGACGGAGGGAGAAAAAAGGCCGGCGAGCGAGAACCUUCCUCCUUCUGCCCCGCUUGGGAGGGCCAUGAGGGAGAGGGUGACCUCCAGCCAAACUAGAGAGCAGCCCGGUCAGAGCUUGGCAUGGCUCCAAUGAGCCCCUGUGUGGCCACUUCUCUCUUUGCUGCCUACCUCUGCCUUUGGAGAGGGUAAGUGAUUCACUGAGGUGCGGUGCUGUGGUGGGGGGAAUGGAGCUGUCCCAGAAAUUACUGCCCCUGUCCUGGUGGGGAUGCUGAACAGCCAGGAGAAUGGCACUGGUGUGGUUAUGUGGGGCUAAUGAGGGUCCCUGGUGUGGAAGGGCAUUUAUCUGCCCAGUUGGCAUCGUGCUUGCUUCUUCAUUACUACAUCAGUGCGCAGCAAGCAAUAUGCCAAGGACAAACUGUACAGCUGUAGCCUCUCCCCAGUCAGCUUCCUCUGUCCCUGCUUUCCCACUGGAUUUUUAAAAUGUGAUGCCUGGAUUUUCCACGAAAGCAGUGAGUUUAGAGGGUUAAAGCUGAGGGAAGAUGUAGGCGGAACUCCUGGAACACAUUUCUGAUUAUCGCUGAGGACAUGUCUCUUCACUCUUUUUGGAUCCAGGGCCGCGUUUUAACCCAAACAUGCAUUUGGGGACCCAUUUCUUAUAUGCCAUCUACUUGUGUGAGGAUAGUGCUCCUGUUGUGCCCCAGCUGGGAUCAUGGCACAGCCCACCAGCUGAAGACCAGUAGCUCAGGAUGAGUUAAUGAUGGUCUGCCUGGAUUGUUUGUGAUUAUGAGCUGGUUCCGCAGGUAAUGCUAAGCCAAACUACAAACAGAGCUUGCAUGCCUGCAUAUUCACACUAAGACAUGGUUUGGCUCAGUAUUACAUGCAAACUAGCUCUGUGUAUGGGACCAAGAGUGGUAGUUACUCCAGAUUAAUCCACAGCAAGAAUUGUGUGCCAUGUGUUUUUAUAUGCAAGUUAAUGCUAGCUUUCACUAGAUUUAAGACCAACUUAGGUAUUAAGUUGGUUAAAAUAGAUGCCAUAGCAGCAUUGCCCAAGCUAGACCAGAGGUGAGGAACGUGUGGCCCUAUUGAUAUUUUUGGACUUUCAGCUCCAGCC